AACGCGAAGAACCUUACCUACCCUUGACAUGCCAGGAACUUGCCAGAGAUGGCUUGGUGCUCGAAAGAGAGCCUGGACACAGGUGCUGCAUGGCUGUCGUCAGCUCGUGUCGUGAGAUGUUGGGUUAAGUCCCGCAACGAGCGCAACCCUUGUCAUUAGUUGCCAUCAUUUGGUUGGGCACUCUAAUGAGACUGCCGGUGACAAACCGGAGGAAGGUGGGGAUGACGUCAAGUCCUCAUGGCCCUUAUGGGUAGGGCUUCACACGUCAUACAAUGGUCGGUACAGAGGGUUGCCAAGCCGCGAGGUGGGGCCAAUCCCAGAAAGCCAGUCUCAGUUCGGAUUGGGGUCUGCAACUCGACCCCAUGAAGUCGGAGUCGCUAGUAAUCGCAGAUCAGCAACGCUGCGGUGAAUACGUUCCCGGGUCUUGUACACACCG
Molecule: ribosomal RNA, 436 nt
Filed under: uncultured bacterium
Lineage: Bacteria
Description: bacterial SSU rRNA
Rfam family: Bacterial small subunit ribosomal RNA
Source: RNAcentral